Molecule: ribosomal RNA, 161 nt
Filed under: uncultured bacterium
Lineage: Bacteria
Description: partial 16S ribosomal RNA
Rfam family: Bacterial small subunit ribosomal RNA
Source: RNAcentral
UUGGGGAAUAUUGGACAAUGGGCGAAAGCCUGAUCCAGCAAUGCCGCGUGAGUGAUGAAGGCCUUAGGGUUGUAAACUGCUUUUGUACGGAACGAAAAGGUUUCUAUUAAUACUAGGAGCUCAUGACGGUACCGUAAGAAUAAGCACCGGCUAACUACGUG